RNAcentral lists this ribosomal RNA (253 nucleotides) under uncultured bacterium. Its description in RNAcentral is "partial 16S ribosomal RNA". It matches the Rfam family "Bacterial small subunit ribosomal RNA", at positions 524 to 776 of the family's 1533-position model. The record is from RNAcentral.
UACGUAGGGUGCAAGCGUUGUCCGGAUUUAUUGGGUUUAAAGGGUGCGUAGGCGGUCUAUUAAGUCAGUGUUUAAAUUUUGCAGCUUAACUGUAGGUAUGGCAUUGAUACUGAUGGACUUGAAUAUUAGAGAGGUAGCUGGAAUUUAUGGUGUAGCGGUGAAAUGCAUAGAUACCAUAAGGAACACCGAUAGCGGAGGCAGGUUACCAUCUGAUUAUUGACGCUGAGGCACGAAAGUGUGGGGAUCAAACAGG